GGAUUUGGCAUGCAAGUUCGGGGGAAUCUCCCGCAAGGGAGGGAACCGGCGUAAGGGGCAGUAAGGCAUGGGUACCUACCCCGGGGUUCGGGAUAGCCAUCAGAGAUGGUGGGUAAUACCGGAUGACCUCGUGAGAGCAAAGAUUUAUCGCCCUGGGAGGGGCCCAUGUGAUAUUAGCUAGUUGGUGGGGUAACGGCUCACCAAGGCGAAGAUGUCUAGCGGGUGUGAGAGCACGACCCGCGCCACUCGCACUGAGACACUGGCGAGACACCUACGGGUGGCUGCAGUCGAGGAUCUUCGGCAAUGGGCGCAAGCCUGACCGAGCGACGCCGCGUGCGCGAUGAAGGCCUUCGGGUUGUAAAGCGCUGUCCAGGGGGAGAAAAGCCCGCAAGGGUUUGAUCUAUCCCUGGAGGAAGCACGGGCUAAGUUCGUGCCAGCAGCCGCGGUAAGACGAACCGUGCGAACUUUGUUCGGAAUCACUGGGCUUAAAGGGCGCGUAGGCGGGCUGUCAAGUCUGGGGUGAAAUCCCGCGGCUCAACCGUGGAACUGCCUCAGAUACUGACGGUCUCGAGGGAGGUAGGGGCGAGCGGAACUGAUGGUGGAGCGGUGAAAUGCGUUGAUAUCAUCAGGAACUCCGGUGGCGAAGGCGGCUCGCUGGACCUCUUCUGACGCUGAGGCGCGAAAGCUA
RNAcentral lists this ribosomal RNA (688 nucleotides) under uncultured bacterium. RNAcentral's name for it is "bacterial SSU rRNA". It matches the Rfam family "Bacterial small subunit ribosomal RNA", at positions 46 to 762 of the family's 1533-position model. The record is from RNAcentral.